CCUCCAUCACAAGGACCAGGAAAUGCUUGAGCUCCUGCAAGAGAGGGUUACAGUAUUCUGUGAGCUGGCAGAGGUGUCAAGUGGUCAGGAGGGCCUACAACCUCCCAUCACACGUUACCUAUUCAGGGCAGACACACCCCAAGCUCCCCGUGCAGAGAAACUCCUACUGGAUGCUACAGCUGAAGUGGACAAGUUGAGUGAAGUCCUUCUGGGCUCCAGUGUGGACAUCCCUCUUCUAUGCCAUCACAACUGCAACGUGAUAGAAGCCAGUAAUCAGGAUCUGUUGGUCAAUGGAGCCCAUGAUUUCUGUGCAGGAAAGGAGAUCUGUCAAAGGCUGGUGAAUCUCAGUGUUUAUCUCCAUGCACUCCAGGGUGCUAUCAUCAAACAAGACUCCAUCUUGGAGCUGCUGCGACAGGACACCAUGGUGCCAGCUGUAGGAGGAGUAUGGCGCCCCCUCUGGCAAGAUGGUGGAAAUCGGGAGGGCAGUGUGGGAUCAACCAUUGGGGAGCUGACUCUUUUACAGAGACAACACAGCCUGCUGCAGGAAGAACUGCUUAGGCUGCGGGAUGCCGAGAACCGGUUUAAGGACAGUGAGAAGGCCCGGGCAAAGCUAGAGAGACAAGUACGAAACAUGAGGGUUUGCAACAGGGCUGCACCUGACUCCGAGCAGCUGGAGGAGCAGGCUUCUCAACCUGCAUCUCUUCAACCAGAAAGGGAGGUCAUAGCUGACACCCCACGGGCCAGAGCGGAGCCAAUCCACCCAUCAGAUGGUGUACAGGAUGAAAGUGAUUUGGAGGUAGACAUGACAUCGGACGAUGAUGAUGGGACAGCAUCUGCAAGCUCUUAAGAUUUUCUGAAAGGGCUGGCAAAUGCAAGCAGCUGUACCAAAACAAUUACAAUAAUAACAAGACUGCAAUAUCUUCAAGAUAUUCCAGAGGACAUCUGAUUGUCUAAAUAUUUCACAUGGCUGAUCAGGUUAUAUGGAUUUUGAUGUAACCUGAUUGACUUCAAAAAUGUGUAUCUUAUAGUCUUAAUAUUUAUUUAGCUGCUUUUGAGUGGAUGGCAUGUGGCAGUGAAUUGUUUGAUUUAAAAUGUUUAUGCUUUGGAUGUUUCCAUGAUUUAAUCACUUGACUAAAGGGUGUGGAAAAUAGAUUGAUAUUUCUUAUAUGCAUGUAACAAUUAAAUCUCAAGUUUUGACAAGGUCUGAUGGUUAGGGUGUAUUGCUAAUCUUCAAUUACUUUACAUAGUAGAAGUUAAAUAUCCACUUUUUUUCAUCAUUAUUUUUUUCUCCAAAAUAUCUAGGAAUUUAGUCGUAACUUGUUUAUAUUGAAAUAAACAAAUUUAUGAAAAUUGGACAUGACAAAUGGAAUCACACCUUUGUGGUUUACAUCAGAGUUUUGGUGGGUGGCAUCAAGCAGUUCCAGGGGUCAAUGAAUGAGCAGAAUAGCCUGAAUGGGUGUGAUUUGUUUAGAGUUCCAAGAUACAAUAGUUUAAGCAAAUAUUACUGAUUUCCAUUAUUUCCACUGGUGUGAAAUUAAUGAAUGCCCCUAGACAUACAGUUUAAUUGUGUAUUUGAAUGUGAAUUUGGUGUUGUCUAAAGCUAUGUCAGCAAUAUUAGGCUACAUUUACUCAAUUGAGUGUCUAUUGGAUCAUAUAAUAUCACAAUUCACAUCCAGAAAUUAAGAUAAAUUAGAGUGGGCACAUUCUUCUAAGCUUUGUCUGACGGGAGGUCCACAGUACAGAACAGAGUAAAACCUGUGCAAUAUCGCAACAAUGGUAUCAUUUUUCAGUUAAUUAAAAAGCAAAGUUUUUUGGACUACAAAAAUUUGACCCCAAGUACAACCUCAAUGCAACAAAACAGGAGUACAUCUGUAAUCAGGUGAAGUCAGUUGACCUGCUGAGCAGAAAACAGCAGACUGACAAAAUUACAGUGCAUUCUGAAUUUUCUUUCCCUCAAGACAAAACUCAAUAUCCCAAAAUUACAAAGCAAAAAUGCAAUGUUGGGAAUUUUCAAGAUGGGAAAGAUGAAAUCUCACAUUGACAUAAGUAUUCAGACUCCUGGUGCGAUCCCAGUCUUUUCCAUUACCCCAAAUUACCCCCUGAUGGCUGUGCUUGAUCUCAAAAAUAAAUCGAGACCAUUUGUUCCCUUCUGUAUUUAGAUUAAACAUUUUUGCAGUAGUAACCUCUUGAGUUUGACGUGACAACCUUUGCACACUUUGUUUUGAGGAUUUUGAGUCUUUCUUCUCUCAAAAUCUGUUAGGUGUACAUUGAUGCUUAGCCAUGUUCAUGUCUCUCCAGACA
This is a non-coding RNA of Paralichthys olivaceus (Japanese flounder), 2301 nucleotides long. NCBI's taxonomy places the organism in Eukaryota, Metazoa, Chordata, Actinopteri, Pleuronectiformes, Paralichthyidae. The record is from RefSeq and is a predicted model, not a curated record.